CCUACGGGGGGCAGCAGUGGGGAAUAUUGGACAAUGGGGGCAACCCUGAUCCAGCCAUGCCGCGUGUGUGAAGAAGGCCCUCGGGUUGUAAAGCACUUUCAGUGAGGAAGAACGCCUGGUGGUUAAUACCCAUCAGGAAAGACAUCACUCACAGAAGAAGCACCGGCUAACUCCGUGCCAGCAGCCGCGGUAAUACGGAGGGUGCGAGCGUUAAUCGGAAUUACUGGGCGUAAAGCGCGCGUAGGUGGCUUGAUAAGCCGGUUGUGAAAGCCCCGGGCUCAACCUGGGAACGGCAUCCGGAACUGUCAAGCUAGAGUGCAGGAGAGGAAGGUAGAAUUCCCGGUGUAGCGGUGAAAUGCGUAGAGAUCGGGCGGAAUACCAGUGGCGAAGGCGGCCUUCUGGACUGACACUGACACUGAGGUGCGAAAGCGUGGGUAGCAAACAGGAUUAGAUACCCUGGUAGUC
RNAcentral lists this ribosomal RNA (465 nucleotides) under Vreelandella stevensii. Its description in RNAcentral is "partial 16S ribosomal RNA". It matches the Rfam family "Bacterial small subunit ribosomal RNA", at positions 338 to 795 of the family's 1533-position model. Lineage: Bacteria; Pseudomonadati; Pseudomonadota; Gammaproteobacteria; Oceanospirillales; Halomonadaceae. The record is from RNAcentral.